CAUUGACUGACUGAUGAUCACUGGAUCCUAAACUUUCACCUACAUUAAUAUCUGAUACCAAGUCUACAUUUAACACUAAAUCUAGUAUGGCCACCUUACAAAUUGGCUCCUCAACGACUUGUUUUAGAGACAAUUGCAGUAGGGAGUUUAGAAUAUGUGUGCUGGUGGCACAAGCAGCUAUUUUGGUUUUCCAGUUCACAUCAGGAAGAUUAGAGUCACCCAUGAUAACUUCCACUUUGUCAUUUUAGCUUUUUCCUUGACUAGUAGACUAGCCAUUUGUCCUGGGAGCUUAUCACACGAGUUACUGUGGGAUUACCAAAUUCUAACGUAACCCAAACAGACUGUUUGCCUCACUAACAUUUAUUAGGCUAGAUUUUAUGCUAUCCUUCGCAUACAGGGCCACCCUUCCUACUUUGUCUUUUCUGUAUAAAAAUAACCUGGUAUUGCAAUUUCUCAUUAUACCAUUUCUCAAUAACAGCAACUAAGUCUACAUUAUCAGUUGCCAUUAUUGCCACAAGUUCAUGGAUCUUACUCCCUAAACUGCGAGCAUUUGUAGACAUGACUAAGCUUAUUUUUUUUAA
Pelobates cultripes (western spadefoot toad) is the source of this 581-nucleotide non-coding RNA. Lineage: Eukaryota; Metazoa; Chordata; Amphibia; Anura; Pelobatidae. The record is from the annotation of a GenBank genome assembly.